AUUGAACGCUGGCGGCAUGCUUUACACAUGCAAGUCGAACGGUAACAGGUUAAGCUGACGAGUGGCGAACGGGUGAGUAAUGCAUCGGAACGUGCCCGGUCGUGGGGGAUAACGCAGAGAAAGCUGCGCUAAUACCGCAUACGAUCUGAGGAUGAAAGCGGGGGACCGUACGGCCUCGCGCGAUCGGAGCGGCCGAUGUCAGAUUAGGUAGUUGGUGGGGUAAAGGCUCACCAAGCCAACGAUCUGUAGCUGGUCUGAGAGGACGACCAGCCACACUGGGACUGAGACACGGCCCAGACUCCUACGGGAGGCAGCAGUGGGGAAUUUUGGACAAUGGGCGAAAGCCCGAUCCAGCAAUGCCGCGUGCAGGAAGAAGGCCUUCGGGUUGUAAACUGCUUUUGUACGGAGCGAAAAGGUCUCCUCUAAUACAGGGGGCUCAUGACGGUACCGUAAGAAUAAGCACCGGCUAACUACGUGCCAGCAGCCGCCGUAA
RNAcentral lists this ribosomal RNA (493 nucleotides) under uncultured bacterium. RNAcentral describes it as "partial 16S ribosomal RNA". It matches the Rfam family "Bacterial small subunit ribosomal RNA", at positions 29 to 523 of the family's 1533-position model. The record is from RNAcentral.